Molecule: long non-coding RNA, 700 nt
Organism: Trachymyrmex cornetzi
Lineage: Eukaryota; Metazoa; Arthropoda; Insecta; Hymenoptera; Formicidae
Exons: 3
Source: RefSeq, a predicted model, not a curated record
UCCUGCAUCGCCUGAUCCAGUCUAUGAUCGUACGUACAGCGGCGAAGAACGCAUUCCUGGAUCUAAGUGAUCUUGAAAAUAAAAAACUUAAGGUGUUUUCAUGUAAUAACGUUUACAAUAAAAAAUAGAUUACCGAUUGUUAUAACGGCAAUAAUUCGCAAUUAAUUCGUGAUAAUCCAAGCAUUCAUCUGUCCAUAUCGGUCAAAAAAUGCCACCAGCAGGCCACGAGACGAAGAACCUUCUGAUGACGUAUUUCAUCCUUAUUUUUCUAUUAAUCUCGCUUUGGGUAUUAUACUCGGGAUUGUUUUUUUAAGCACAACAGACAUUCCUCACCAUGGGCUGAACAACAAAGAAAGCAAGGCGGAUGCAUUCAGAGGAUCCAAGAUCGUCACGGACACCUCGUUCAAAACUCGCCAAUUCUCACUUAUUAUAUUUUCUACAAUUUAGGCGUCUGAAGACAUGUUCUCCACAAAUCAUUUUUGACUGUUUAGUGACCGAUUUCUGCAACGCGCAUGAUUUAAAAAUAUAUUUAUCGGGUAAUAGAAACAAUUUUAAAAGUUUGUCCCUUGUCUUGCUUCAAUUUCUUACCACUUCGUCAUGAAAAUCGGCUAUCGAUAUUACAUUAAUUAUAUUUUCCCAGAUAAUUAGCUACAAAUACAUUGUCUGAAUUAAAAAUAAUAUUUAUAUUAUGUUACUCUCG